Molecule: long non-coding RNA, 1801 nt
Filed under: Apis mellifera (honey bee)
Lineage: Eukaryota; Metazoa; Arthropoda; Insecta; Hymenoptera; Apidae
Description: uncharacterized LOC102656724, transcript variant X3
Source: RNAcentral
GUAAAAAUAUCUAUAAUACGAAAUUUUAUAUACGAAAAUAUAUUAUUUUUUUAUCGACAUAUAAAAAUAACAACAUUCAAAUUUCGUAAAAACUUCAAUUCAAUUGCUCGAGUUGCAAAAUCGUUAUUACUUGUAGUUUCAUUUAUAGGUUAUGCAUAAUUUGUAAGCAUAAAUGUUUAUUGUUUUAGUCGGCUUUUCAACAAAUUUUCAUCAAAAUAUUAUUCAUUUUCGAUUUAUAUUUCCUUACGACCUCUUUUCGUUCGACUGAAUCGGUAUCCGUUUUCAAAAUUUUCCACCAAGUUUCUUCGUAUUUUUAGUUAUAAAUACAGAUAGAAGAAGUCGCAGCUCGAGUGAGAUUAUACUCUAAAUUUUCAUUAGACAGGAUCAUUAAUCGUGGUCAUUUUGUUCGGUGUGUAUAUGUGCAUGUGUGGCGAAAUAUACAUGUAAACUUCGUUCUUUCGUAAAAUCAGUUAUAGAAAAGAAAACAGAAUAAAGAAAGAGAAAGAUAAGAAGAGGAGACGUCGCGGCGCCUAUCCAGCAUGCGAACGACGCCGUCUAGCUCAAUUUUGAAUUUAACAAUUACCAUGAGAUCUGGCUCAGAAUUUUUUCACUAAACUUUUUAAAAUAUCCUCAAAUAACCUAAAAAAUUGUACAAUGUAUGCAUAUCCUAUAUCGUACAUACAUCAAAAUCAAACUAUAUAUAUAUAUAAAAUUGAAAAGAAGAGAAAUAUUUUUAAGCUAAGAGAAAGCUAAUUUUCACAGAUAAAAAAAGUUAAGUGCUAAUCCAGCAAGUUAAACUUGACAUACUUUCGAAAUAUGGCAUCCAAUGCAUUAAGAUCCAAAGAAUCUUGGGUGCGCAGUAAUGAAAGCAUAGGUUGGUGAGAAGUGUUAGAGCGUCAGGAUGUUCGGCGCCACAUUGCCGCGACCCAAAUAGUAAUAAUACUGUCGGCGAAGCUUCUGUCGAUGGAGACGCUGUUGCGAGUGAUGGAGGACGAGGAAGAAUGACCGUACACCACCUACAUUUGCCUCAAUCUUGGACUCUGCGUAUACAUUAUUAUUCGAGUAAAUUUUUACGAGUCCUUUGGAUCGACCACACGUCUCUUCUAUGGCCCUUGUUUAGAUUAUUCUAACCUAUCUUAUGGUUACACGAUGCGUGUACCUAUGCAGAAAUUUCAAGGAAGACCAUUAAGGGAAAGAGAAAGAAACUUUUCUCGUGUUGAUAAAUCAAGUUACGACACCCACGUAAUACUGGUUGGGAAAAAUUCGAGCAAGCAGAUAUAAUAAUAAGAACGAUGACGAGAUCGAUUUUCCACGAAACGAAACGGACGAAACUUUUGCGACCAAUGUGAAAAACGAUUUUUCGAAUUAAUAAAAAAUAGAUAAUUGUGCAUUAUCAAGUAAUGAUUAACUAUGUCAAUGAAGCUCGUCAAUAUUUAUCUCAUGAUUAGAAUGAUUGCAUGGAGCUAAUUGUAUCAAUUACGUGCAAUUUUGUCGGCCGAGUUUAGAUCAGAUCCAAAAUGGCGAUUAGUUGUUUGGCUAUCGAGGAAUCCGCUUUCACGGAUAAACGCCGAAUUAAUUCACUGCUCUCUGUUUUCAUACGAUAGAUAUUAUUCGCUCGUAUCCUUUUAUUGUAAUAUGAAUUGGCCGAUUGCCAAAAACGAUUUUAUUACUUUUAUGUUCGGUGAAAAAUUGAUGGAAUAUUUCAUUUAGGUAUGAAAAUAAAAAUUUACUCGAAUAAGUAAUAGUUGCAGUUUCCACGAAUAAUUUAUCAUUUUUGAUGAACAAGUACAGUUUUACAAAG